RNAcentral lists this long non-coding RNA (259 nucleotides) under Oryza sativa (Asian cultivated rice). Its description in RNAcentral is "long non-coding RNA (OSAT_LNC000778)". The record is from RNAcentral. Lineage: Eukaryota; Viridiplantae; Streptophyta; Magnoliopsida; Poales; Poaceae.
UGCUGUAGCCGCUUCCGCCAUAGCCAUCAUCGUUGCUGCUUGACUUCUUGUAGCCACCAUCAUAGUCGUCUGAGCUUGAUUUCUUGUAUUCGUCACCACGACCAUAGUCGCCGGUGCUGGAGUCCUUGUAAUCGCCAGACACGACAUAGUCGACGGUGCUGGAGUCCUUGUACUCGCUGCCAUAGUCGCCAGCGCUGGACUAGUUGUAGCCACCACCACUGCCACUGUAGUCAUUGUUGCCGGAUUUGUUGUAGCCGCC